This 467-nucleotide ribosomal RNA is filed under the name uncultured soil bacterium. RNAcentral describes it as "bacterial SSU rRNA". It matches the Rfam family "Bacterial small subunit ribosomal RNA", at positions 26 to 481 of the family's 1533-position model. The record is from RNAcentral.
AGAUUGAACGCUGGCGGCAGGCCUAACACAUGCAAGUCGAGCGGUAGAGAGGUGCUUGCAUCUCUUGAGAGCGGCGGACGGGUGAGUAAUGCCUAGGAAUCUGCCUAGUGGUGGGGGAUAACGUUCGGAAACGGACGCUAAUACCGCAUACGUCCUACGGGAGAAAGCGGGGGACCUUCGGGCCUCGCGCCAUUAGAUGAGCCUAGGUCGGAUUAGCUAGUUGGUGAGGUAAUGGCUCACCAAGGCGACGAUCCGUAACUGGUCUGAGAGGAUGAUCAGUCACACUGGAACUGAGACACGGUCCAGACUCCUACGGGAGCAGCAGUGGGAAUAGUUGGACAAGUGGGACGAAAGCCUGACUCCAGCCCAUCGCCGCGUGUGUGAACGAAGGUCUUCGGAUUGAAAGCUACUUUAAGUGGAAGUAAGGUUAUAACCUAAGUCGUUAGACGUAACUUUGACGUUACCGA